CACUCAUGUCAGAACGCAAUAAUGAUAGAUGUAAUACAUUUCAGAUGAUGAAUUAAUCAACCGUUGGUUACGAAAUAGUACAUAUAUAUAUAGCCAGCAAAUUAAACGACCAUCAAUCCACGAACCGUACGUUUUACAAUCAGAUUAAUUAGCACGCAAGACCAGCAUUUGCAAUCAGCACGGUCGAUGGAUGGCAUUUGCUAUCGAGAACGGCGAUGCGAUGCUGCUCCUCUCUUCUUCCUCCUUCACCCUGUUCAUGUCGCUAGAGCUAGCUAGUAAGCUAGGUCAUGGCAUACGUACGUACGGAUUUUACUGAAGGUAGUACGCGAGGAAG
Molecule: long non-coding RNA, 334 nt
Filed under: Oryza brachyantha (malo sina)
Lineage: Eukaryota; Viridiplantae; Streptophyta; Magnoliopsida; Poales; Poaceae
Description: long non-coding RNA (OBRA_LNC001804)
Source: RNAcentral